This 465-nucleotide ribosomal RNA is filed under the name Vreelandella stevensii. RNAcentral's name for it is "partial 16S ribosomal RNA". It matches the Rfam family "Bacterial small subunit ribosomal RNA", at positions 338 to 795 of the family's 1533-position model. The record is from RNAcentral. Lineage: Bacteria; Pseudomonadati; Pseudomonadota; Gammaproteobacteria; Oceanospirillales; Halomonadaceae.
CCUACGGGCGGCAGCAGUGGGGAAUAUUGGACAAUGGGGGGAACCCUGAUCCAGCCAUGCCGCGUGUGUGAAGAAGGCCCUCGGGCUGUAAAGCACUUUCAGUGAGGAAGAACGCCUGGUGGUUAAUACCCAUCAGGAAAGACAUCACUCACAGAAGAAGCACCGGCUAACUCCGUGCCAGCAGCCGCGGUAAUACGGAGGGUGCGAGCGUUAAUCGGAAUUACUGGGCGUAAAGCGCGCGUAGGUGGCUUGAUAAGCCGGUUGUGAAAGCCCCGGGCUCAACCUGGGAACGGCAUCCGGAACUGUCAAGCUAGAGUGCAGGAGAGGAAGGUAGAAUUCCCGGUGUAGCGGUGAAAUGCGUAGAGAUCGGGAGGAAUACCAGUGGCGAAGGCGGCCUUCUGGACUGACACUGACACUGAGGUGCGAAAGCGUGGGUAGCAAACAGGAUUAGAUACCCGUGUAGUC